UUUUUUUGCUUUGUUAUUUUGCUAUCUUUUGUCCUUUUGUUCGUUGUUUUCUCUCGUUUGUGUGUUGGACUUCGUUGUUGCAGGUGACAUGGGCGGUGAGACGCAUGCGAGGAGACUGACGGUGGUGGUGGUGGUGGCCAUUGGUGAGGAGUGCGGCGGCUGAAACUGGGGGCUAGGGCUGCUGAAAUGUUUUGGGUAGAUGGGCUUUAGGGUUUUGAUAAUUUGGGCUUGGGUAGUUUAGACCUGGAAUUAUCAUGUAAAUGGACUAUUAGACUUUUAUUAUUUAUUAUUUUUUGGUUUUAUUAUAUUGGGCCUGGGCAGAUAUGGGCUUCUACAGCUGCCUCUCUUUGCUCAUUGUCGUGUAACGAGAAUGGAGCAAAGACUGAAAGAGGGCCAAAUUUGCCCGGUCUUUGCAGAAUCUUGACAUCUUGGUAGCUUCAUUCCUAUCCACUGCGUCUUGUUGCUUCGAUCCACUUCAUGCAACUUCGGAGGUAUAGGAUCUAUUUUGAUCUGAUCUUCUGCAACUUCAGGGAGAUAAGAUUUGUUGUCUUUGAUUUGCUCCACUACAAUUUCAGGGAAACAAGAUCUGCGAUCUUCAGCCUACUCCACUACAACUUCAGGGAAAUAAGACUGGUAACUUCAACCUGCCCCACUGCGACUUCAGGGGGAUAAGGCUUACAGCUAUGAUUUAUUCCACUGAAACUUCAGAGAUUCAAGGAGAAGAGAUUUGUAGCCUCGAUCUUCUCUACUAAAACUUCGAGGAAAUAAGAAUUCAGGUAGAAGGGAUUUGUAGCCUCGACCUCCUACACUGGAACUUCGGUGAUUUAGGGAGAAGAGAUUUGUAGCUUCGAUCUUCUCUACUGAAACUUCAAGGAUUUAGAAUUCAGGUAGAAGGGAUUUGUAGCCUCGACCUACUACACUGAAACUUCGGAGACUCAGGGAGAAGAGAUUUGUAGUUUCGAUCUUCUCUACUGAAACUUUAAGGAUUUAGAAUUCAAGUAAAAGGGAUUUGUAGCCUCGACCUAUUACACUGGAACUUCGACGAUUCAAAGAGAAGAGAUUUGUAGCUUCGAUCUUCUCUACUGAAACUUCAAGGAUUUAGAAUUCAGGUAGAAGGGAUUUGUAGCCUUGACCUACUACACUAAAACUUCAGAGAUUCAGGGAGAAGAGAUUUGUAGUUUCGAUCUUCUCUACUGAAACUUCAAGGAUUUAGAAUUCAAGUAGAAGGGAUUUGUAGCAUCGACCUACUACACUGAAACUUCGGAGAUUCAGGGAGAAGAGAUUUGUAGUUUCGAUCUUCUUUACUGAAACUUCAAGGAUUUAGAAUUCAAGUAGAAGGGAUUUGUAGCCUCGACCUACUACACUGAAACUUCGGCGAUUCAGGGAGAAGAAAUUUGUAGUUUCGAUCUUCACUACUGAAACUUCAAGGAUUUAGAAUUCAAGUAGAAGGGAUUUGUAGCCUCGACCUACUACACUGAAACUUCGGAAGUAUAAAUUAUGGAUUUCAACCCGCUCCACUACCGCUUAGGGAGGUAGGAUCUACAAUUUCUAACAUGUUACCCUACUGCUUAAGGGGUUAAGGCUCGUCGUUUUUGAUCUGUACCACUGCAACUUCAGGGAGAAAAUCUUCUUUGGUGAUUUCAAUUCGUCCCACUGCAUCUUCAGAAGCGUAAGAUUUUGAUUUCUUUGGUCCGUUACACCGCUCUUUGGAGAACAUAACCUGUUGAAUCUAUUUAUGGGCCUAUGCUUUUGCCAAAUAAAUAAGAUGCUAUGAUCGAAUAAAUGUUCCUAACUAUAUGUGAUGUUUAUGUCAAACAAUUAGAAUGCUACGAUCGAAAUGAAUCAAGUGCUCCUAACUAAAUGUGUCAUGAAUGAUAUAUGAAUGCAAAAAUGAAAAUGAUCAUUUUCAAAAAAAAAAAAAACUUAAAGUGUCAUUGCUCAUUGUUCACCAGAGCCGUACUACGCUGCCGUCUUAUUUAGCUGGUAUUCUUUAUAGAAAACUCAAAGAAACAAUCUCAAUCUGCUCGGCAAGCCUGCCCCACUUAAACUUUAUGGAGUUUUUUGCUUAUCUAGACCACUGCAACUCAGGGUAUAGGAUUUGUUUCAUCUUCAAUCAAUUUGAUCUGUUACACCAUUCCCUGGGUGUAAUGACCCGCUGUAUAUGCUCGAUAUUUGCAUGAAUGCAGAGUAUUAAUUUUUUUUUCUCGAGAAUGACCCCCUUUUACACUUAGGUUGACAUUGCUCGUCAUUUGUCGAGGUCGUAUCACUGACGAAAUAUCUUGCCUCUUUAUUCAACUGAUAUAUUUGACAGAAAAUUCGAAGAGAUAGUCGCAAUUUAGAAACAUUUUCAUCCCUUAGGCUUAGUGAAUUCUAAAUGAUGGUCCAGUUUCAGGUUCCUAUACUGUUUAUAAGCUUCCUGAGUAAUAUGCAGAACCCCUUUUGCGAAUGUAUUAUUAGUCCAUUAAUCGUUAUUUCAAUGCAAAAUGCUUGAAAAAUAUCAAAACAAUGGACAAGAAGGAAAUUGAUUAGGAGCAUAGCUCGAAAUAAAUAAAUUGAUCAAAGAUUGCAAAUGCAAUAAAAGGCAAUUAACUCAACAUGAAUAAAUUAAUCAAAGAUAACGAUGCAAUAAGAAGGAAGUUUAUUGGGACAUAUCUUCAAAAAAAAUAAGGUAAUCAAAGAUAACAAAUUCAAAAAUGAGCAAAAUGGAAACUAGGUGCCCCAGAUAUCGCAGCUCGAGCUUCUCUGUACCAACUUCUUGAGGAAAUUUUUGAGCUCAAUACGUGUUUAGGGGAUCCGAAGUACUUUGUUGAUGCCCCAAGAUGAACAUAUUUCUUCUUUGUUAACGCCCCAUUUUGAUCCAAAUUUGAGCCGUCUUUUUUGGGUUUUCAACUCAAAUCUCCUUUGGUCUCAAAGCGCCCUUUGCAGGUUUUCGCUUUGGCCACUCCCUUUUUUUUCUUUUUCUUUUUUUUUAGGAUCUCAAAGCGCCCUUUGCAGGUUUUCGCCUUGGCCUCUUAUUUUCUAUGUGAAACAUUUCUUGACAAAAUCUGAAUUCACUAACUUGGGCAGAUCUUUGCCAUCUAUCUCGGUUGGUAUUAAUGCUCCUCCAAAACAGGUCUUCUUUACUACAUAAAGUCCUUCUGAGUUUAACAUUCACUUUUCUCAAAAGUUCUUUUGUAUAGGAGGGAUCUUUUCCAAUAUCAAGCUUCUCUCGUGGAAUUCUCUAGGAUAAACCUCUUUAUAGUAAAUUCGCAUCAAUCAUUUCCGGCGCAUUAGACCUCGAUAGAUAGGUUUUGACCCUUUUUCUUCAAAUUCAAUUGAUCUUAUCAAGAUUGGAUCUCUUCUGCCUUAUCCAUUUUCGGUUCUGACAAGACUCAGAGAAAAGGAAUAUCGUCUUCAAUGGCUGAGAGCGCUUCUAAUGAGAAAUGUGUUGCCCCGAUGAAAACCCUGGCCGACGUUUGGUAAGUAUAGAAGGUAAAUGGUAACUUCUUUACGUCAGUCUUUAAAAGUCUCGGUUAUCUCCCAUGAUCCUUUUUUGUUGUCUUUCUCUUUUCUUUUCUUUCUUUCUUUCUUUUUUUUUUACGAUUUGCAUUUACAUCUGCAUUUGCCUUUGCCUUUUCCGCACUGCAAUAUAGUGCCUAAUAUUUGAACAAACUGCAUACUUUUGACAUUGCAGUUGUGUUAGACAUGAUCUUUUCUGGCGUUCUUUGUUGGCACUUUUUUUUCUUUUUCUUAGAAUUUGACAACUGUCGACUAAGUGACAUUGGCACAUGAAACAACUUUCCCCUUUUUUAAAGAGUAAUCAAUGACCCCUAAGACGAAUUAGUAUCCGUUAGAAGCUUUCAAAGAGAUCGGCCUAUAAACCUUCAUGCCCCCGCAUAGAGAAAGCCUACUGAGAAAUAAAGGGGCACAUGAAUAUUGUCUCCAUAAAUUUGACAAUUACAACAUACUGAUGCAAUCUCCUUCUACAGUGAACCAGCAGAAGCCAAAUCUCAUUAUUAGCUCGGCCAUCGUAUAUGUCAUUAGUAUACAUUGUUCAAAAAUAUGCAAUAUCCUCACGUCUUAGUGGCUAGGCGUAUCUUGAUACAAUCGCGCAAAAAAUAUUUAAAUUCUUUGAAAUGACUCAAUGAUGUUUCGCUUUAUCUUUGUGGUGAUGCAGACUCCGAUGUUUGCCUAUUUCUCUUGUCCUAGGCUUACUGUCUACUGACUCUUUGUAAUGUAGGACAUCUUGUUCUACCAUUCUUAACAAAUCUGGAGAUAGGGCACCAUCUCUGUCAUCUUCAAAGUAUUGAGAUCCCUUUAGGUUAAUAUUUCACUCAAAAGGAGACUCGGAGUCGGUGACAACGUCGCUCACAUCUUUGAUAUCUAGGGACCUGUUGUAGGUACGAAGGUAGAUUCCAAAGAAUAAAUGAUUCUAAGGAUGAUUAUUUGUAUGGUAUGGUCGUGAAUGAAAAAUAAAUAAAUAUUUAAAAGAAUGUUUAAAGAACAAAUAAAUCUAAGAACGAUUAUUCGUAUAGUAUGAAAUGAGAUAAGAGAAUAUUUGCUCAAAAGAAGAUGCAUUUUAUUGAAACAAAGAUUCAGGACACAAGCCUAUUUCACAAAAGGAUUCUUAUUGCUUCUAGGCUUAAAGCAAUAAGCGUGUUUUAAAUAUUACUCUAGAUUAGCUCUAAAAAUAAAAAGGAUCGCUUCUACAGUCCCAUCGUUCAAAACACUUCCAAGUACAUAAGGGCAUAUGCUCGAAAAAUUCUAUUCUCGGGUUCCCUCUUCUGAUACAUUGUUAACGUUCGAAUUUCUCAAUAUCAGGUUUUACAAUAGAGUCCUGAGCUCGAUGUGCCAUUGGAUCUCAUACCCCUAUCCAUCAUGGAACUCGUACUAUCCACCCCUUUAACAGAAAGGUUGGAUAACAGAUUUCUUGCUCUAGAGGGAUCAUCGAAUUUCACGAUACCCAAUUUGACAAAUCUUUCGAUUAGCUUUCUAAAAGCGGUACAGUUCUCGAUGGAAUGCCCCAUGAUUUCCGCAUGGUAUUCACAUUGGCCGCUUGCAUCGUACCAUUUAGGGUAUGGAAGCUGUAUUGGUUCCAUGUAAAAAGGGGAUACGACAUGUGCGUCGAACAAAAUAUGGUACAACUCUUUGUACGUGAUUGGGAUGGGCGUGAAUUAGGGUUUUUCUGAGUUCGUUCUUCGAUUGAGCUCUUGCCUUAGGGAGGCCUGAUGGUUGGUAAUUAUCGUCCUUAGCUGGUUUACUGUAAUAAGCUUCGAAUGGCCCUUGUUGUACAUACUCGUGCUAUUUACUUCUUUUUUUUUCUUUUUUGGGGUCUUUAGAGUCCAUUCUCCCAUUUUCUUUGUUUUUGCUAGAAUAACCGGUUUAGCUUGAUCGUCUUUCGGGUUAAAACCUGAACCUGUCGGGAUAUUCAACAGUGCUGUGGUGUUUGAUUGGGUCAGGAUGCUUAUUGGGGCAAAACCUGGGGAAUAGACGAUGUCUUCAUCAUCCUCACUAUUGACCACUAGGCUACUCCUUUUUUUAAAUUCUUUGGCCAGUAACUGGGUUAACUGGCCCAUCAUAUUUCUUUGGAGUUCCAGCAUUUGUUCUCACAUAUCUUGUUGAAUUUGGAUCAAUUGCUCUUGCAUAUGUAUUUGUUUUUGCUCUAUUCUUUCCAAUCUUUGGUCCAUAUCAUUUGUCGGUUCUAAAAUAAUUUUACCUAAUUAGGGUUCUUUAGUGAAAGUUUAAUGCAAAUGAUGCAAUGCAAUGCAAAAAUAUGGAAUGAAUGCAAAAGAAAGGAAGGCGUUGAUUCUGAGUUCAAUUCCGUUAGAAAAACUUUCCUAGAAAACAAAUUCCCUUACAUAAAACGGAUUACAUAUGCAGCCUUUCUCUCAUAUUCCAAGCGAAGACGCCUAUUUUCCUCUUCAUAUCCAGAUAUUAUGGUUGAGUCUCGCGAAUUCUCCAAAAGAUGUCCCUAUCGACUCCUUUUUGCUUGAUCUGGGCCGCCACUUAUUGAUACUUAUCCCCGCGAUACUCGUCAGCUCCUUUAAGAAAGUCGAGAUGUGAUGACUAUCGAAUAAUUCUUGUUGGCUUGAAUCCUCGGGCAAUGAAACAGAGUUUCGUAUUACUCCAUUACAUAUGCAGCCUUGCCCUCGUAUUUCAAGCGAAGACACCUAUCCUCCUCUAAAUAUCCAGAUGUUAUGGUUGGAUCUUGUGAAUUUUCUAAAAGAUGUCUCUUUCUGCUCGAUCUGGAUUGCGGCCCAUUGCUCACUUAUCCCUGCAAUGCUCGUUAGCUUCUUUAAGACAUGACGGCUCUCGAAUAAUUUUUGUUAGCUUGAAUCCUCAGGCGAUAAAGCAAAGUCGUGUAUUUCUUCAUGGACUAUCAAUCUUCCUUCAUUGUGUUUACUUGGACCAUAUUUAGACAACCGUGUUAUAAUCCACUUUAUCAAGUAAUUCGUUUUCUUAUGACAAACUGUUCUAUUUAGCAAUCAAAUAUGAAUCAACACCUCCUUUCUAUGAUGAUGUAAUGCAAUGUAGUUAUAAACAAAACAAAAAAAAACAAAACACGUUAGUACAUGAGAAAUAAAUAACAAAUAAAGCACCUAGCCGGGUGACUGCUAGGGGUUCGGAGUGGCUCUACCUAGGGUAAGCUCCUAGGUCUCUAUAUGUGGCUCGGUUCUAGAGUAAGGGUACCCGAACCAGCAGAUUCAUCGAUCUUCACCCAUUAUAGGCUCAUGUAGAUCGAGUUCAGUUCAGGGGAAUACAUUUCCCUAUGACCAUGCGGAGAUGAAAAUCUCACGAAAUCAUAGGUACGGAUGUAUCCCGAAAGCAAUCUGCUAGCUUAUGCGAAGGUGAAAACCUCACGAAUGCAUAGUUUCUCACUCCCACUUAAAAGGUGUUACCACAACGGUCAUGCAAUGCAAUGUAUGAGGAUAUAUACAUAAGAAAACCUGAGGCAAUAAAGAAAAUAGAGCUAAAACGAUGAAAAUCGUAAGAAAAAUGGACGAAGUGCAACGAAGGGAUCGUAGGUUUAAAACGAAUUUUCAAUUUCGACCAAAGACAAAAAUUAAUCAAUUUAUGGCUCGACUUUCAAGUCCCCAGCGAAGUUGCCAAGCUAUCGAAACCAUUUUUUUGAAAAAACAGGGUCGACUUGGUUUGAAAGCGAAAAUUAAAACGGGAGUCGCCACCGAUCUUUAUUAGGUGUGAUCGAAUCAUAUUUGUUUUAAUAAAUCAAUUUUAGUUUACUAAAAUAGUGCCUUUGGUCUACGAAACUUGAGAGAAUGAGUUUGGGAGUCGGUUACGUGCGAGGAAGGAUUAGCACCCUCGACACGCCCAAAAAUUGGUACCGAAUUGAUUAGUUAGUGUCCUAAUGUCGAAAAUUUGAAAAUCGGGAAGGGAUUUGAAAUACGAUCUUUUCUAUUAAUAUUGACUUUAAAAUUAUUGAAUUAGCUUGAAUCGAUCGUUUAAAGAUUUCCUUAUCUCGAGAUAUCAGAGUAUCACAUCCCGUAAGUUAGGACACAAUACCAUGAAUUCCCGAGCACAAGGUCGUCUCUUAAUUUAAAUGAGAAUUUCAUGUGUUUUAAAACUCGAAAAGGAUAUUUAGCUAUUUAGAAACAAUAAAGAAAUCGAAACCCCGUAAGUUAGGGCACGAUUCCUUGAUGUUCCAAAAUGCAAAACAUUGCCUUAUUUGGAAAAUUUCGUUUUUGAAUAGUAGCGAAUUUGAUACUUAAAAAACGUGUUAUUCGUUUGGAUUCACAUAAAACAAGUUAUUGGAUGAAUGUAACGAGGUUUGAUUUAUUGGGGUGACGAUAUGAAAUAAAGGUGUAGUGCAACAUAGAACAAUGAUAAAAAUAUUACACAAGUGAAUGACAAUAAUAUGACAAUACAAAUAAGCGAAUCAUGCAAUGGAAAUAAUCGUACAACAUGCAUCGUUUAAAUACUAACAUUAACAAUCAAAGAUAAAUGAAUUAAAUAAUCAAAUAAAAAAUGAAUAGCAUAAAGUUAAUUAAAAUGAAUAAGAUGUAAGAAGAAACGAGAUUAAAAGGAUAAUAAAUGAGUUCUAAAUAAAUAAAUAGAUAAUAUGCAAAGAGAAUUUUGAAAGAAAGAUCAACCAUAUACAAAACAGUUUUAAAAGAUUAUAACAAGGUUAAAACCAAUAAUAUAUGUGUAUGCGAAAGUAUAAAACAAAUAAUAUAAAAAAUAUUAACGUAAAUAAUAAUAAAACAUUCCAAAAUAUAUAAAUAGGGUUUUAAAAUGAGAUACAUAUAACGAUUUAAAGCAAGUAAUAAAACAAUAAUUCACAAAAAACAAGUUUAAAAUAGUUUAUAAAACAAAUUUAGAGUAAAUAAUAUAAAAUAAGUUAAGAUAGUUGAUAUAUGAUUUCAAUUUAAAAUAGAAUAAAAUAAUAUAUACAUAUAUAUUAACCUUAAGUGAAUAGUUUUUUUUUAAAAAAAAUUUAAAAUAACAUAUGAAAACUUAAAAUAAAUAAUAUGUGGAAAAAGAGCUUUAGAGUAAAUAAUCUAUAAAUCUGGUCUUAACAAAAAUAAUGAAAAAGGGGUUUCGAAUAAAUAAUAUAGAGAGAGAAUAAGGAUAAAAAAUUUGGAAUAAAUAACAUAUAUAAAAACAUAAAAAAAAAUAAGUUUAAGCUGCAUAGUAUAUUAAAGUUUAAAAUAUAAAAUAUGUAAAGGUUUAAAAUGAAAUAAUCUAUACGUAAAAUAUAAAAUAAAUAAUAUGCCAAAUAAUUUAAGAUAAUAUAUAGUAAGAGAAAUAUAUAUAUGUUCAUAAUCCAAGAUAAUAUGUAGUAAACAAUUUGAAAUGUAUGCUUUAAACCAAUUUUAAAUAAACAAUAUAUAAAAUAGUUUUAAGAGAGCUAAUGUAUAUAAAAUAACAAAAGAUUUACAGCAGUUUAAAGAGUAAAAUAAAAAUAAAACAGAAAAUAAACAAAAUAAAAUAAAUGAAUUAAUGAAUAAACAGAAGCAAAUUAAAAAUAAAUGCGAAAAUAAUGAGUCGGGGACUGCUUUGUAAGUCAUCAAUAAAAAAAUGGGGUACAAUCAUAAAUACCAAAAGCUUCCAGGGACUGCAUUAGAAAGCGCGCGAAGGACCAAGGCCCGAAAGAGAAAAUAUCCCAGGUCCUUUGAUGCGCGGCGUUUUAUUAGCUCUGUCCAAGGAUUAAAUCAGAAACAGAAUAAAAUAAAUGGGCGAAAUUUAAAAAAGGAAAAAUGCAAACAGGGCUAAAUGGAAUGACUCAGGAAAGAAAGAGGGACCAUAACUGAAAUAUCCCAUUUUAGGCGCACAGACCCUUCUCCUUUGCCCAAACGACGCUGUUUCAUGCAGUAUUUAAAUCUGUUUAUUUUUUUUUCUUUUAUUUUGCUUUCUCCCUGUUUGAAAAAAAAAACAGAGAAUACUCCACUACCCCUUUUUCUCUUGCAGCUAGGGUUUCAACACCCAUCAUCGCCGGCAGUUCACUGUGCCAAACGGGGAGGGGAGCUCCGACGACGCGGCCACGAUGUAGAUCCGGUAACUCUCUUCCCCUCCUCUUUCCUUUGUCUAUUUUCGUAUAAAAAUAAAAAUAAAAAAAAAACAAAUAAUACAAAAAAUAAAUGAAAUCAGAACAUAGAACAAUACUAGAAAUAAAAUCAACCUUCCUGUUUUUUUGCUAUUGUGAUUUUGUUUGCUAAAGUUCGUAAAAAAAAGCAAAGGAAACGAAAGUGGCUUUUAUAGCCAAAUACAUAUGCUUGUUCUCAUUCUAAUUUGUCUGUUUCUUCCUUGUUUUUUUUUUUGCUUUGUUAUUUUGCUAUCUUUUGUCCUUUUGUUCGUUGUUUUCUCUCGUUUGUGUGUUGGACUUCGUUGUUGCAGGUGACAUGGGCGGUGAGACGCAUGCGAGGAGACUGACGGUGGUGGUGGUGGUGGCCAUUGGUGAGGAGUGCGGCGGCUGAAACUGGGGGCUAGGGCUGCUGAAAUGUUUUGGGUAGAUGGGCUUUAGGGUUUUGAUAAUUUGGGCUUGGGUAGUUUAGACCUGGAAUUAUCAUGUAAAUGGACUAUUGGACUUUUAUUAUUUAUUAUUUUUUGGUUUUAUUAUAUUGGGCCCGGGCAGAUUUGGGCUUCUACAAUUACCAUUGUUUUUAAUUUAAACUUAAAUACUGUUACAUUAGAGAGUU
RNAcentral lists this long non-coding RNA (10133 nucleotides) under Gossypium barbadense (sea-island cotton). RNAcentral describes it as "long non-coding RNA (GBAR_LNC008537)". The record is from RNAcentral. Lineage: Eukaryota; Viridiplantae; Streptophyta; Magnoliopsida; Malvales; Malvaceae.